CCUUCGAUAGCUCAGCUGGUAGAGCGGAGGACUGUAGAUACAAAGCAUGUAGACAUCCUUAGGUCGCUGGUUCGAUUCCGGCUCGAAGGA
Ovis aries (sheep) is the source of this 90-nucleotide transfer RNA. It matches the Rfam family "tRNA". Rfam says of the family: Transfer RNA (tRNA) molecules are approximately 80 nucleotides in length. The record is from Rfam. Lineage: Eukaryota; Metazoa; Chordata; Mammalia; Artiodactyla; Bovidae.